This 540-nucleotide small RNA is filed under the name Trichoderma koningiopsis. RNAcentral describes it as "eukaryotic LSU rRNA". The stretch from base 160 to 313 matches the Rfam family "5.8S ribosomal RNA". Lineage: Eukaryota; Fungi; Ascomycota; Sordariomycetes; Hypocreales; Hypocreaceae. The record is from RNAcentral.
UGUGAACCAUACCAAACUGUUGCCUCGGCGGGGUCACGCCCCGGGUGCGUCGCAGCCCCGGAACCAGGCGCCCGCCGGAGGGACCAACCAAACUCUUUCUGUAGUCCCCUCGCGGACGUUAUUUCUUACAGCUCUGAGCAAAAAUUCAAAAUGAAUCAAAACUUUCAACAACGGAUCUCUUGGUUCUGGCAUCGAUGAAGAACGCAGCGAAAUGCGAUAAGUAAUGUGAAUUGCAGAAUUCAGUGAAUCAUCGAAUCUUUGAACGCACAUUGCGCCCGCCAGUAUUCUGGCGGGCAUGCCUGUCCGAGCGUCAUUUCAACCCUCGAACCCCUCCGGGGGGUCGGCGUUGGGGAUCGGGAACCCCUAAGACGGGAUCCCGGCCCCGAAAUACAGUGGCGGUCUCGCCGCAGCCUCUCCUGCGCAGUAGUUUGCACAACUCGCACCGGGAGCGCGGCGCGUCCACGUCCGUAAAACACCCAACUUCUGAAAUGUUGACCUCGGAUCAGGUAGGAAUACCCGCUGAACUUAAGCAUAUCAAUA